GUGGAUUAGAUACCCUAGUAGUCCACGCCCUAAACGAUGGAUGCUAGGCGUAGGAGGUAUCGACCCCUCCUGUGCCGCAGCUAACGCACUAAGCAUCCCGCCUGGGGACUACGGCCGCAAGGUUGAAACUCAAAUGAAUUGACGGGGACCCGCACAAGCGGUGGAGCAUGUGGAUUAAUUCGAUACUAACCGAAGAACCUUACCCAGGUUUGACAUCGAGGGUAAGCCUAUGAAAGUAGGCCCUCUCCCACAAGGAGACCCGAAGACAGAUGUUGCACGGUCGUCGUCAGCU
RNAcentral lists this ribosomal RNA (292 nucleotides) under uncultured bacterium. RNAcentral's name for it is "partial 16S ribosomal RNA". It matches the Rfam family "Bacterial small subunit ribosomal RNA", at positions 773 to 1060 of the family's 1533-position model. The record is from RNAcentral.